RNAcentral lists this ribosomal RNA (659 nucleotides) under uncultured bacterium. RNAcentral describes it as "bacterial SSU rRNA". It matches the Rfam family "Bacterial small subunit ribosomal RNA", at positions 842 to 1501 of the family's 1533-position model. The record is from RNAcentral.
CGUGCCGUAGCUAACGCAUUAAGUGCCCCGCCUGGGGAGUACGGCCGCAAGGCUAAAACUCAAAGGAAUUGACGGGGGCCCGCACAAGCGGCGGAGCAUGCGGAUUAAUUCGAUGCAACGCGAAGAACCUUACCUGGGUUUGACAUAUGCCGGUAGCAGCCAGAGAUGGUUGUGCCUUUUGGGCCGGUUUACAGGUGGUGCGUGGCUGUCGUCAGCUCGUGUCGUGAGAUGUUGGGUUAAGUCCCGCAACGAGCGCAACCCUUGUCCUAUGUUGCCAGCGGUUCGGCCGGGAACUCAUAGGAGACUGCCGGGGUCAACUCGGAGGAAGGUGGGGAUGACGUCAGGUCAUCAUGCCCCUUAUGUCCAGGGCUUCACGCAUGCUACAAUGGCUGGUACAGAGGGUUGCGAUGCCGUGAGGUGGAGCGAAUCCCUUAAAGCCAGUCUCAGUUCGGAUUGGGGUCUGCAACUCGACCCCAUGAAGUCGGAGUCGCUAGUAAUCGCAGAUCAGCAUUGCUGCGGUGAAUACGUUCCCGGGCCUUGUACACACCGCCCGUCAAGUCAUGAAAGUCGGUAACACCCGAAGCCGGUGGCCUAACCUUUUUGGGGGGAGCUGUCUAAGGUGGGAUCGGUGAUUAGGACUAAGUCGUAACAAGGUAACC